UACGGGGGGAGCAAGCGUUGUUCGGAAUCACUGGGCGUAAAGGGCGUGUAGGCGGUUCGGUAAGUGGGAUGUGAAAUGCCCGGGCUCACCCCGGGACCUGCAUCUCAUACUGCUGAGCUUGAGUACAGGAGAGGGUGGGGGAAUUCCUGGUGUAGCGGUGAAAUGCGUAGAGAUCGGGAAGAACAUCGGUGGCGAAAGCGCUCUACUGGGCCAUAACUGACACUCAGGGACGAAAGCUAGGGGAGCGAAUGGG
Molecule: ribosomal RNA, 253 nt
Filed under: uncultured bacterium
Lineage: Bacteria
Description: partial 16S ribosomal RNA
Rfam family: Bacterial small subunit ribosomal RNA
Source: RNAcentral